Micropterus dolomieu (smallmouth bass) is the source of this 296-nucleotide small nucleolar RNA. The record is from RefSeq and is a predicted model, not a curated record. Lineage: Eukaryota; Metazoa; Chordata; Actinopteri; Centrarchiformes; Centrarchidae.
GCCCAGUGAUGAGACCAAGGCGAAUACGAGCUAACUGAAUGAGAGUUGGGUUCUUCUUGCCUUGACUGGCAGGUAAUCUUGGCAGUGCAGAGGAGGAUUCCUGCUCUGCUGUAAGGGCCUGCCUACAGUGACUUGGCUCAACCCAAAUUAUUCCUUUAAAGUUACAGUGGAGUAAUAACAGGAAUGAAGCCAACAGAGUGUGUGUGUGUGUACGCGUGCACAAGUCAAGAAGUUCACCCAGCUCUCUUCUCGCUGUUCAGUCAGCCAUGAGUUGCUUCUUUGGUAAUCUGAGGGCC